UUAAGUUUAGUCAACUCAAAUAUAAACCAAGUCUUCUAAACAUCUUUUAACAAUAAAAACUUCACCACAAAUUAUUUAUAAUCAUACCUGAGAUCCCAAGGGUCUUUGAUCACAAAACUUCAACUCUUUCUUCAAUCUUCAUCUUCUAAUUCUUUGAGACUCCGUUCAAUACUUCACGAAAUUCGCCAACUUAUAAAAUCCUUAACACAUCUCAUCCCUCUCCAUCUCUCUCUCUCUCUCUCUCUCUCUCUCCCCCCCCUUUUUCUUUCGA
Molecule: long non-coding RNA, 271 nt
Filed under: Ananas comosus (pineapple)
Lineage: Eukaryota; Viridiplantae; Streptophyta; Magnoliopsida; Poales; Bromeliaceae
Description: long non-coding RNA (ACOM_LNC043712)
Source: RNAcentral